RNAcentral lists this ribosomal RNA (1722 nucleotides) under Crossorhombus valderostratus (broadbrow flounder). RNAcentral describes it as "16S ribosomal RNA". It matches the Rfam family "Bacterial large subunit ribosomal RNA". The record is from RNAcentral. Lineage: Eukaryota; Metazoa; Chordata; Actinopteri; Pleuronectiformes; Bothidae.
CACCUAAAAGCUAGCCUGUCCACCCACCCACAACAACCAUGUUAAUAAACCCCAACGCACCAAUCACAAACAGUUAAAACAUUUUUCCUCCCUAGUACAGGUGACGAAAACGGACCAAUAGAGCUAUAGAACAAGUACCGCAAGGGAAAGCUGAAAGAGAGCUUAAAGAGAACAGUAAAGUGCCUUAAAGCAAAGCUAAACCCUUGUACCUUUUGCAUCAUGGGCUAGCCAGUAAGAGCAGGCAAGAGGGACCAUAGUCUGUCGCCCCGAAACUAGGUGAGCUACCCCACGACAGCCUAUUAUAGGGCAAACCCGUCUCUGUGGCAAAAGAGUGGGAAGAUCGUCGGGUAGAAGUGACAAGCUUACCGAACCUAGUGAUAGCUGGUUGUCCAAGACAUGAAUAUAAGUUCAGCUCUCCCCAUUUUUUGAUCUAGCUGGCACUCGCCCCUUGACCUAAAGAAGGAAGGAGAAGUUACUCGAAAGGGGUACAGCCCCUUCGAGGAAAGAAACAACUUUUUAAUGGAGGUUAAGGAUUAUAAUUUGCAGGGGACUCUGCCCUAGUGGGCCUAAGAGCAGCCACCUAAGCAGAAAGCGUCGAAGCUCGAGCAGGAACCCCCCCCCCCCCAUUAUACCUAUAGAUAUCCCCGAAACCCCAACUUUGUAUUGAACCCCUCUACUUGAAGUAGAGAAGAUCAUGCUAGUAUGAGUAAUAAGAAGCCAUAAGGGCUUCUCCCAGCACACGUGUAUACCAGAACGGACAAACCACCGAAAAUUAACGGACCCAACAGCAGAGGGUAAUGAUAUCUGCCUGAGCGACUAGAAAAGCACUCAUACAUACACCUCCCCGUUUAACCCACACUGGAGUGCCCAAAGGAAAGACAAAAGGGAUUAAGAAGGAACUCGGCAAACUUAAGCCUCGCCUGUUUACCAAAAACAUCGCCUCUUGCAAUUAACAUAGAAUAAGAGGUCCAACCUGCCCAGUGACAUUAUGUUUAACGGCCGCGGUAUUUUGACCGUGCUAAGGUAGCGCAAUCACUUGUCUUUUAAAUGAAGACCUGUAUGAAAGGAUAAACGAGGGCUCAGCUGUCUCCUUUUUCCAGUCAAUGAAAUUGAUCUCCCCGUGCAGAAGCGGGGAUCUCCACAUAAGACGAGAAGACCCUGUGGAGCUUAAGACCUAAGCAAAGCUCAUGUUAAUAAGCACUUAACGCAAACUAGAAACUAAGUGAGUACUAAGACUAGGCCUUCGGUUGGGGUGACCAUGGGGUAAAAACAACCCCCAAGCGGACAGGGAACUCUGCAGGAAUUUAACCAAAAACACAUAACCCUACUCCUCAAAGUAAGAGCCUCGGCUCUAGCUAGCGAAACUUUCGACUCAAAGUGAUCCGGACUAUACCGAUCAACGAACCAAGUUACCCCAGGGAUAACAGCGCCAUCCCCUUCUAGAGCCCAUAUCGACAAGGGGGUUUACGACCUCGAUGUUGGAUCAGGACAUCCUAAUGGUGCAACCGCUAUUGAGGGUUCGUUUGUUCAACGAUUAAAGUCCUACGUGAUCUGAGUUCAGACCGGAGCAAUCCAGGUCAGUUUCUAUCUAUGAACAGGCUUUCUUCUAGUACGAAAGGACCGAAGAGAGGGGGCCCCUGCUAAAGGCACGCCCCGCCCACCUCCGGUGAACUUGAAUAAACCGGGACAGGGGAUGAAUCCUCCUAUUAUAGAAAAUAGUAU